UUCUUAUUGGAUGAUGACUGUCACGUGUCAUGUUUUGAUUGGCUGUCAACUCCAUGAUAGAUGAAAUACAUUGUUAUUUUCAUUGACCAAUCAGAAUAUGACACGUGACAGUCAUCAUCU
Glycine soja is the source of this 120-nucleotide non-coding RNA. The record is from Rfam. Lineage: Eukaryota; Viridiplantae; Streptophyta; Magnoliopsida; Fabales; Fabaceae.